AACGAACGCUGGCGGCAUGCCUCAUACAUGCAAGUCGAACGAAGUCUUCGGACUUAGUGGCGCACGGGUGAGUAACAUGUGGGAAUCUACCUAAAGGUUCGGAAUAACUAUGGGAAACUGUAGCUAAUACCGGAUGUGUCUGCAAAGAGAAAGAUUUAUCGCCUUUAGAUGAGCCCGCACUAGAUUAGCUAGUUGGUGAGGUAACUGCUCCACCAAGGCUACGAUCUAUAGCUGAUUUGAGAGGAUGAUCAGCCACACUGGGACUGAGACACGGCCCAGACUCCUACGGGAGGCAGCAGUAGGGAAUAUUGGACAAUGGGGGAAACCCUGAUCCAGCAAUGCCGCGUGAGUGAAGAAGGCCUUAGGGUUGUAAAACUCUUUCAUCAAUGAUGAUAAUGACAUUAGUUGAAGAAGAAGCUCCGGCUAACUUCGUGCCAGCAGCCGCGGUAAUACGAAGGGGGCUAGCGUUGUUCGGAAUCACUGGGCGUAAAGCGUAUGUAGGCGGAUCAAAAAGUUAGAUGUGAAAUCCCUGGGCUCAACCCAGGAACUGCAUUUAAAACUAGUGAUCUAGAAUUUGGUAAGGGUUAGUAGAAUUUCCAGUGUAGAGGUGAAAUUCGUAGAUAUUGGAAAGAAUACCAGAAGCGAAGGCGACUAACUAGGCCAUUUUUGACGCUGAGAUACGAAAGCGUGGGUAGCAAACAGGAUUAGAUACCCUGGUAGUCCACGCAGUAAACGAUGAGUGCUAGUCGCUGGUUCAAUAGGAUCAGUGUCGAAGCUAACGCAUUAAGCACUCCGCCUGGGAAGUACGGUCGCAAGAUUA
This 820-nucleotide ribosomal RNA is filed under the name uncultured marine bacterium. RNAcentral's name for it is "bacterial SSU rRNA". It matches the Rfam family "Bacterial small subunit ribosomal RNA", at positions 28 to 896 of the family's 1533-position model. The record is from RNAcentral.